CCUACGGGGGGCAGCAGUGAGGAAUAUUGGUCAAUGGACGAGAGUCUGAACCAGCCAAGUAGCGUGAAGGAUGACUGCCCUAUGGGUUGUAAACUUCUUUUAUAUGGGAAUAAAACGUUCCACGUGUGGGAUUUUGUAUGUACCAUAUGAAUAAGGAUCGGCUAACUCCGUGCCAGCAGCCGCGGUAAUACGGAGGAUCCGAGCGUUAUCCGGAUUUAUUGGGUUUAAAGGGAGCGUAGGUGGAUUGUUAAGUCAGUUGUGAAAGUUUGCGGCUCAACCGUAAAAUUGCAGUUGAAACUGGCAGUCUUGAGUACAGGAGAGGUGGGCGGAAUUCGUGGUGUAGCGGUGAAAUGCUUAGAUAGCACGAAGAACUCCGAUUGCGAAGGCAGUUCACUGGACUGCAACUGACACUGAGGCUCGAAAGUGUGGGUAUCAAACAGGAUUAGAUACCCCAGUAGUC
This 460-nucleotide ribosomal RNA is filed under the name uncultured bacterium. Its description in RNAcentral is "partial 16S ribosomal RNA". It matches the Rfam family "Bacterial small subunit ribosomal RNA", at positions 338 to 795 of the family's 1533-position model. The record is from RNAcentral.